Molecule: long non-coding RNA, 660 nt
Organism: Hibiscus syriacus
Lineage: Eukaryota; Viridiplantae; Streptophyta; Magnoliopsida; Malvales; Malvaceae
Exons: 2
Source: RefSeq, a predicted model, not a curated record
UACUUUCUUUCAUUUAUGUUUUACUUUCAUUUAUGUUUUACUUUCCCAUUUCAAACGCGUUGCUUGUCGAAACGAAGACAAAGCUCGGCCAUCACACGCCGAUGGUGCUCCUCCCGCUCGUUUUAGACACACACACUUAAAUUUUGCCUAGAUUCGGCCCCAAACCACCUUAAACCGAGACUAAGACUUCCAAAAGCCACUCUCAAAUGAACUUGCGAAAAAUAGAAAGGACCUUCAAAGCUUUGAUGUAGACAAUGCCACUCGGGUGAUUUACUUAGGUAGUGAUGCAGCACCUUCGGUCGCUCGGCAGCUCGGUGGCUCGUCGGUGAUGGCUUCAUUCGGUGGCUUGACCAUGGUGGCGGUGGCUGAAGUUGAAGAGUUGGUCACUGGCGACGGUAACUUGUUUCAAUCGUUGGAGGCGGUUGGAUGAUAGUUUAGUUUAGGGUUUAAAAAGCCUAGUUGAAGAUGGGUAGGAUCCGGGUCAACUACGGGUCACCUCCGGGUCGGGUCAAAUUUCUGUCUGGAUCAACUGUUGGGUAGUUAGGUCCCUUCAUUGGGAUUCAGUUGAUAACUAGGUCACUUAUAAUGGGCUUUGAGUCUAGGCCUGCAAACAUAUGUAAUAAAAUUAAUAAUAAUAAUAAUAUAUUUUAAUUAAUAAUA